UGGGGAAUAUUGCACAAUGGGCGAAAGCCUGAUGCAGCGACGCCGCGUGAGGGAUGACGGCCUUCGGGUUGUAAACCUCUUUCAGCAGGGACGAAGCGCAAGUGACGGUACCUGCAGAAGAAGCACCGGCUAACUACGUGCCAGCAGCCGCGGUAAUACGUAGGGUGCAAGCGUUGUCCGGAAUUACUGGGCGUAAAGAGUUCGUAGGCGGUUUGUCGCGUCGUUUGUGAAAACCAGCAGCUCAACUGCUGGCUUGCAGGCGAUACGGGCAGACUUGAGUACUGCAGGGGAGACUGGAAUUCCUGGUGUAGCGGUGAAAUGCGAAGAUAUCAGGAGGAACACCGGUGGCGAAGGCGGGUCUCUGGGCAGUAACUGACGCUGAGGAACGAAAGCGGGGGUAGCGAACAGG
Molecule: ribosomal RNA, 409 nt
Filed under: Bacillota bacterium
Lineage: Bacteria; Bacillati; Bacillota
Description: Firmicutes bacterium partial 16S ribosomal RNA
Rfam family: Bacterial small subunit ribosomal RNA
Source: RNAcentral